GACGAACGCUGGCGGCGUGCCUAAUACAUGCAAGUCGAACGAGAGCGACCGGUGCUUGCACUGGUCAAUCUAGUGGCGAACGGGUGAGUAACACGUGGAUAACCUGCCCAUCAGAGGGGGAUAACAUCCGGAAACGGAUGCUAAAACCGCAUAGGUCCUCGAACCGCAUGGUUUGAAGAGGAAAAGAGGCGCAAGCUUCUGCUGAUGGAUGGACCCGCGGUGCAUUAGCUAGUUGGUGAGGUAACGGCUCACCAAGGCCGUGAUGCAUAGCCGACCUGAGAGGGUGAUCGGCCACAUUGGGACUGAGACACGGCCCAAACUCCUACGGGAGGCAGCAGUAGGGAAUCUUCCGCAAUGGACGCAAGUCUGACGGAGCAACGCCGCGUGAGUGAAGAAGGUUUUCGGAUCGUAAAACUCUGUUGUUAGAGAAGAGCAAGUGCUAGAGUAACUGUUAGCGCCUUGACGGUAUCUAACCAGAAAGCCACGGCUAACUACGUG
RNAcentral lists this ribosomal RNA (498 nucleotides) under uncultured bacterium. Its description in RNAcentral is "partial 16S ribosomal RNA". It matches the Rfam family "Bacterial small subunit ribosomal RNA", at positions 28 to 507 of the family's 1533-position model. The record is from RNAcentral.